GCAACUGAAUACAUCAGUGCAAAGAAGAGUGAAUCAACAAAAUGGAGAUGUUUGAUCAAAUAUAAUAGGCAGUGCCAUGAUAUGCAGUAAAUCCUAGUAAACAAUAAGUUUUCACAUUUUUGUCUGGCACACAUUAAAAGUA
This is a long non-coding RNA of Nanorana parkeri, 142 nucleotides long. RefSeq lists it as uncharacterized. The transcript has 3 exons. The record is from RefSeq and is a predicted model, not a curated record. NCBI's taxonomy places the organism in Eukaryota, Metazoa, Chordata, Amphibia, Anura, Dicroglossidae.